RNAcentral lists this transfer RNA (71 nucleotides) under Zootermopsis nevadensis. It matches the Rfam family "tRNA". From Rfam's summary of the family: Transfer RNA (tRNA) molecules are approximately 80 nucleotides in length. Lineage: Eukaryota; Metazoa; Arthropoda; Insecta; Blattodea; Termopsidae. The record is from Rfam by way of RNAcentral.
GCCACGGUGGUCUAGGUUAGAACGCUGGCCUUGUAAUCCUGGGGUCUCGGGUUCGAUUCCCGGCUGUGCCC